UGCAUCCAGAUAGGCAGGAAAGUUGAGAGUGCUGUCCAGAGCGGUCACAAUGGUGCACUCUGGGAUAGCUCGCGGAGGCCAAUAUUGUCAAAGUGCAUCCAUACUACCC
Long non-coding RNA from Gopherus evgoodei (Goodes thornscrub tortoise), 109 nucleotides. RefSeq lists it as uncharacterized. The transcript has 3 exons. The record is from RefSeq and is a predicted model, not a curated record. Lineage: Eukaryota; Metazoa; Chordata; Testudines; Testudinidae.